Molecule: long non-coding RNA, 163 nt
Organism: Ctenocephalides felis (cat flea)
Lineage: Eukaryota; Metazoa; Arthropoda; Insecta; Siphonaptera; Pulicidae
Exons: 3
Source: RefSeq, a predicted model, not a curated record
CACCGAAUAAACAACACACCGACCUCUUCAUCAGGGACCUCUCUCUAAUUACAGAAUUCUUCCAAUUCAACCAUCAACGCACCGAAUAAACAACACACCGACCUCUUCAUCAGGGACCCCUCACUAAUUAUAAAAUUCUUCCAAUUCAACCAUCAACGCGCCG